GACGAACGCUGGCGGCGUGCUUAACACAUGCCAGUCGAACGGAAAGGCCCUGCUUGCAGGGUGCUCGAGUGGCGAACGGGUGAGUAACACGUGGGUGAUCUGCCCCUUACUUUGGGAUAAGCCUGGGAAACUGGGUCUAAUACUGGAUAGGACCAUGCUGUAGGUGGUGUGGUGGAAAGAUUAGUUUCGGUAAGGGAUGAGCUCGCGGCCUAUCAGCUUGUUGGUGGGGUAAUGGCCUACCAAGGCGUCGACGGGUAGCCGGCCUGAGAGGGUGGACGGCCACAUUGGGACUGAGAUACGGCCCAGACUCCUACGGGAGGCAGCAGUGGGGAAUAUUGCACAAUGGGCGCAAGCCUGAUGCAGCGACGCCGCGUGGGGGAUGACGGCCUACGGGUUGUAAACUCCUUUCAGCCAUGACGAAGCCCUUGUGGUGACGGUAGUGGUAGAAGAAGCACCGGCUAACUACGUG
This 469-nucleotide ribosomal RNA is filed under the name uncultured bacterium. RNAcentral's name for it is "partial 16S ribosomal RNA". It matches the Rfam family "Bacterial small subunit ribosomal RNA", at positions 28 to 507 of the family's 1533-position model. The record is from RNAcentral.